RNAcentral lists this ribosomal RNA (254 nucleotides) under uncultured bacterium. RNAcentral describes it as "partial 16S ribosomal RNA". It matches the Rfam family "Bacterial small subunit ribosomal RNA", at positions 524 to 776 of the family's 1533-position model. The record is from RNAcentral.
UACGUAGGGUGCGAGCGUUUGUCCGGAAUUAUUGGGCGUAAAGCGUGCGCAGGCGGUUUGCUAAGACAGGUGUGAAAUCCCCGGGCUUAACCUGGGAAUGGCAUUUGGGACUGCAAGGCUCGAGUGCGGCAGAGGAGACUGGAAUUCCUGGUGUAGCAGUGAAAUGCGUAGAUAUCAGGAGGAACACCGAUGGCGAAGGCAGGUCUCUGGGCUGACACUGACGCUCAUGCACGAAAGCGUGGGGAGCAAACAGG